GCCUGAGAGAUUUUCGAAGGCUUUCCAUGAAGUUCAUCGGGAACUUGUAUACGAAGAUCUGAGUUUGGAUGCUUCCUGCAGGUUUAUAAGCUCAUAAAAAAUUUCCAGACAAUAGUUUUUUGGCUGGCUCUGUACUUGUUCUAAUAUUUUUAUUGAUAUGUUACCUAUUUUAGUUUUCAAGGAAAGAAGGUAAAAUGGAUCUUAAUUUAGAACCAAGCUGUAUGGCAUCUUUGUUUUGUUAAUGUGGUGGCUUUCCUUUUCAUUUCUGCCCCCCAUAGUGGAUGAUCGGAGGGAUUUUAGCAUCUGAUGUUACUCAAAGCUGACUUGUGGAAAUAAAUUAUGUGGGAGUCUUAAAAGGUUCGAGCACAGUUUAACA
Molecule: long non-coding RNA, 376 nt
Organism: Populus euphratica (Euphrates poplar)
Lineage: Eukaryota; Viridiplantae; Streptophyta; Magnoliopsida; Malpighiales; Salicaceae
Exons: 2
Source: RefSeq, a predicted model, not a curated record